Long non-coding RNA from Rattus norvegicus (Norway rat), 2589 nucleotides. The record is from Ensembl. NCBI's taxonomy places the organism in Eukaryota, Metazoa, Chordata, Mammalia, Rodentia, Muridae.
GUUUGGCAGAACGGAAGCCUGUCUCUCCAUUUCAGAAGGGCCAGGGGAAGCAAGCCUCUGGCUUUCAGGACUCAUCUCUGUUUACUGGUUUGCAAGUUGGGAGUUCGCUUCUCUCUUCAGUCCUGAAAAGGUAAGAAUCAAGUGUUACAAGAAGUGAGUUUGAUCCGUUCCAUUUUGUUCCAGAGCUUGUUUGACCUUUGGAUAAACAACUAAAACCUUCUAGAAGCACCUCAAAGGGAUGCAAGAACGCACGUGCUAUUUGAAUAGCAGAAAGGUUUUACGUGGAUCCCUGACAGUAUACAAAGUAUUAUUUAUAUGAGCGCUUAAAAAAAAAAAAAAGCACUUGUAAAAUAUACACUCUUCAGCAAUAGCCAAAUAUGGAAGGCGUGGAUAUGGGAUCGCAUACGCAGGCAGACUCUGGAAAUGGGGAGAGCCAUGCCUGUCCUUUCCUUUGCAUCGUGCGUUCACAUGACUACGAAUUCCACCCAAGGAUGUCUGGAGUUGGCCAAAUGGAGACCCCCAAGGACGUAAAGAAGCAGCAUGGAUAGUAGGGGGUAUCUGGAAAGCCGAAGCUCACAGACAAAAGGCCUGCACCAUCUCUGUCAUGGACAGCCUGGGCAUCUUGGGCUAAUUGGUCCUCCCACCCAACCCCCCAUCCAGAUAAACCCCCUUCCUGUCUCCAGUUAGGAAAAUAAAAAUAGGCAUUUAAGGUAUAAUAACAAUUAGCAAAAUAAAAUAUAAUAAGAUAAAACAAAAAUGAUCCCGUCAGACUUGGAUAGAAGAGCCUUUCAAUCUUAAGGUCCGCAGAGGAUUGUAUGGCACCCAUUAUUUGGCAUCGUCAGCAUCUGGUGCAGGAGCCAGCACAUCACAGCUGCGUAGUGACUACACAGUCACCGAAUCCUUCCUGGGGCUCAGGGGGCCUUUGAUAAACUGGAGACCCUGAGAACUGCACGGAUGAACUUGGCAGCUUAUGCAGGAAAGUAGUGCCUGCCGUGGAGGUCCCAGGACAAGUGGCAGCAGAAAUGGAAUCCUUCCGCUGUGCAGUAGAAGGGUCUGGGACCAACAGAUUUUCUUCCUAAGAGCAACGUGCUCCUGAAUGUUCAGCAGAGGCUGCUCUGGCAUGGUGCCAGUCUGAUGACUCAUGGACUCAUAACUCAAGGAUCUCGGCUGGCCCGAGCACAAAGCUGCAGGGGCACUGGCCAGCCCCACCUGCAUGACAUACUCAUAGACAGAAGGGGCACUGGUAACUUGCCAGGGUGGCGUGAGUCCCGGUAGAGAUGUUGACCACCCGUAAGAAAUCCAGACAUAUACACUACAAAGAAUUGUCUGUUAAUCUCCUGUGAGCAGGGUGCAAAUGUACUAGGCUCCGAAUAUAAGGGUUUCAUCUGUAAACUAAGAACGCAAGUUUCUGUCUCUUUGCAGCCCAGGCAAAUCCUCAGACUCAACCAUAAAGAGUGGAAAGGAAGAAGGGAGGUUGGCUUGGUCAUUUGACGGCCAGACUGUGAGUGUCAGAGCCCAGAGUCUGCUGGGGAGUUCACUAACUCCAAGGCAACUGAGCUCGCUAAUCCUUUUAAGUCAGGACAGACUUGUUUGUCUAGCAGGGAGGGAGGAGUGAAGCUUCAUUAGACUGCAGAAGUGGACAGGCUGAAGAAAAUCCCCUUAGACAGGUUGGUUGGCUUCACGGCCCUUGUUUUAACUUUCUUGUCAAGGCAUAUUGAAAAAAAAUUUAUAUCACCAGGGCAAAGCACCAGCUGGAAUUUCUUGCUCAAAGCAAAUCUCUCCAUGCCCACCUUGGCCACAACUUCAACCUUUUCAGAAAACUGCCCUUGAACUUUGACCUUUUGGUAAUGCUUGACCUCGAUGAGAUCUGGACUGUGUUUUGGCAAGGGUAGUCACUAGCGAGCGGGGUACUUGACUGUUCCUGGUUCACAUUAAAGGGUUUUGGGGUUUGGUUUGGUUUGGCUUGGCUUCUUUCUAAGUGACUUUGAGAUAGAAUGUCAGAUCAAUUCAUCUGUGUCAGAUUCUAAAUUCGAAGAAAUUUGGGGCAAAUUUUGGAAUAUCAUGAGGUGGGAAGGUUGCCCUACGGUAAUUGGCUAUAGAGGGCAGAGUUGGUUGUGUAUAGUGUGACUUCAGGUUUUGGCUGGCAACAGGCUACCUCAGCCGGGUUCAUUCUGACUCAUCCUCUUCAAAUCAUGCUGUGAUUGGUCAGGCCUCUCCUUCACUAGGUCAAGGGUCAAAAUGCUAUUUGAGUUUAAAGAUGCAGAACCUGAGCUGGGUAGAUAAAAAGUUUCUUUUUAAAAGUGGUGGGUGAGGGAUUGGAGAUUUAGCUCAGUGGUAGAGCGCUUGCCUAGCAAACGCAAGGCCCUGGGUUCAGUCCCUAGCUCCGAAAAAAAGAAAAGAAAAAAUAAAUAAGUAAAUAGAAUAAUAACAAUGUACACUAAGAAUUGUGUAUGAUUUUUUUCCCUUAGAAAAAACAUGAAAUCUAGAGGAUAAGAUUCUUUCUGUAGGUAGUAGCUUUUUCUCUGGGCUUUUAGGGCCCGGGAGGGGCAAGUUUCUGUUGCUUCAGAACUUGAGACAACAACUAUCAUU